UCCCAGAGUAUGCCUGUUCGCGGGCUAGGUUGUGGCAUGCCACAACCUAGCCCGCGAACAGGCAUACUCUGGGC
This 74-nucleotide microRNA precursor is filed under the name Paramuricea clavata. Lineage: Eukaryota; Metazoa; Cnidaria; Anthozoa; Malacalcyonacea; Plexauridae. The record is from RNAcentral.